AACGAACGCUGGCGGCAUGCCUAACACAUGCAAGUCGAACGAGACCUUCGGGUCUAGUGGCGCACGGGUGCGUAACGCGUGGGAAUCUGCCCUUUGCUUCGGAAUAACACAGAGACAUUUGUGCUAAUACCGGAUAAUGUCGUAAGACCAAAGAUUUAUCGGCAAAGGAUGAGCCCGCGUAAGAUUAGCUUGUUGGUGGGGUAAUGGCCUACCAAGGCGACGAUCUUUAGCUGGUCUGAGAGGAUGAUCAGCCACACUGGGACUGAGACACGGCCCAGACUCCUACGGGAGGCAGCAGUGGGGAAUAUUGGACAAUGGGCGAAAGCCUGAUCCAGCAAUGCCGCGUGAGUGAUGAAGGCCUUAGGGUUGUAAAGCUCUUUUACCAGGGAUGAUAAUGACAGUACCUGGAGAAUAAGCUCCGGCUAACUCCGUGCCAGCCGCCGCAGUAA
RNAcentral lists this ribosomal RNA (449 nucleotides) under uncultured bacterium. RNAcentral describes it as "partial 16S ribosomal RNA". It matches the Rfam family "Bacterial small subunit ribosomal RNA", at positions 29 to 523 of the family's 1533-position model. The record is from RNAcentral.